UGUUACACGGAAGGAAGGUCGAAGAAUAAUUCGGUUAACUUGCCCGUAUACUUCUGGGUGUUGAAUCCAAAGACUCGGUUCACCUGGUGUAUCGUCGCGAAAUUUUGCAGAAGCGAGUUAAUCAACGUUAAGAAGAAAGAAUCUUCGCGUGGCGGGUCGAGAUUUACGUGUUGGUUGCCUACAUAAGGCAAGUGAUAGAGAGAGAAGAGAGACGGACGUGGUGUUUCGCCACUAGCCUACCCGGGAUUUCUGCUAUGACGCUUGUGACUUGAAUCGAAAGGGCGAAUUCCAAGGUGACGGAGUUGAUGCCCUAGUAACUGGAACCUGCUAUUGAAGGAUGCUUAGGAUAAAUCCGGUGAGGCAAUAGGAUCCUGCUUUGUGCUUCGUGUACCGGUGGCUGUUUUUAUAUAUAAAUUUAAAGAUGCUUCAAACAAGAGACUUGCUUCAAACGAGAACGAGAGACUGCUUCAAACGAAAAUUAUUAGAAUGAUCAGUCACUGUUAAAUUUAAAGCUUCAAAUUAAAAUUGUUAAUAGAAUGAUCACAAUCACUGUUAAGUAUCGAUUUAUGACUGCUAAUGCUUUAAAAAUCUUAAUAUUUUCAUUUUCACCUUAGCACGAGGCUUCAUUGUCAGCGAAAUUGAUUAACCUUCUUCAUGGUUGUAUAUUCUUUACUGCAAAUGAUACAUUAAAAUUUAAUUAUU
Long non-coding RNA from Macrobrachium nipponense, 702 nucleotides. RefSeq lists it as uncharacterized. Lineage: Eukaryota; Metazoa; Arthropoda; Malacostraca; Decapoda; Palaemonidae. The record is from RefSeq and is a predicted model, not a curated record. The transcript is spliced from 2 exons.